AAGGAUCAUUAAAGAAAUUUAAUAAUUUUGAAAAUGGAUUUUUUUUUUUGUUUUGGCAAGAGCAUGAGAGCUUUUACUGGGCAAGAAGACAAGAGAUGGAGAGUCCAGCCGGGCCUGCGCUUAAGUGCGCGGUCUUGCUAGGCUUGUAAGUUUCUUUCUUGCUAUUCCAAACGGUGAGAGAUUUCUGUGCUUUUGUUAUAGGACAAUUAAAACCGUUUCAAUACAACACACUGUGGAGUUUUCAUAUCUUUGCAACUUUUUCUUUGGGCAUUCGAGCAAUCGGGGCCCAGAGGUAACAAACACAAACAAUUUUAUUUAUUCAUUAAAUUUUUGUCAAAAACAAGAAUUUUCGUAACUGGAAAUUUUAAAAUAUUAAAAACUUUCAACAACGGAUCUCUUGGUUCUCGCAUCGAUGAAGAACGCAGCGAAAUGCGAUACGUAAUGUGAAUUGCAGAAUUCCGUGAAUCAUCGAAUCUUUGAACGCACAUUGCGCCCCUUGGUAUUCCAGGGGGCAUGCCUGUUUGAGCGUCAUUUCCUUCUCAAACAUUCUGUUUGGUAGUGAGUGAUACUCUUUGGAGUUAACUUGAAAUUGCUGGCCUUUUUCAUUGGAUGUUUUUCUUUUUCCAAAGAGAGGUUUCUCUGCGUGCUUGAGGUAUAAUGCAAGUACGGUCGUUUUAGGUUUUACCAACUGCGGCUAAUCUUUUUUAUACUGAGCGUAUUGGAACGUUAUCGAUAAGAAGAGAGCGUCUAGGCGAACAAUGUUCUUAAAGUUUGACCUCAAAUCAGGUAGGAGUACCCGCUGAACUUA
This 808-nucleotide ribosomal RNA is filed under the name Saccharomyces cerevisiae (brewer's yeast). RNAcentral's name for it is "eukaryotic LSU rRNA". The stretch from base 378 to 531 matches the Rfam family "5.8S ribosomal RNA". The record is from RNAcentral. Lineage: Eukaryota; Fungi; Ascomycota; Saccharomycetes; Saccharomycetales; Saccharomycetaceae.